This 7180-nucleotide long non-coding RNA is filed under the name Triticum aestivum (bread wheat). RNAcentral describes it as "long non-coding RNA (TAES_LNC008012)". Lineage: Eukaryota; Viridiplantae; Streptophyta; Magnoliopsida; Poales; Poaceae. The record is from RNAcentral.
UUUGUUUUGAGUUUUGUGUGGUUGAAGUUUUCAAGUUUUGGGUAAAGAUUCGAUGGACUAUGGAAUAAGGAGUGGCAAGAGCCUAAACUUGGGAGUGCCCAAGGAACCCCAAGGUAAUAUUCAAGGACAACCAAGCAACUAAGCUUGGGGAUGCCCUAGAAGGCAUCCCCUCUUUCGUCUUCGUUCAUCGGUAACUUUACUUGGAGCUAUAUUUUUAUUCACCACAUGAUAUGUGUUUUGCUUGGAGCAUCAUUUUAUUUUGUUAGUGUUUGCUUUAUGUUAGUUAGAAUAAUGUUUUUCUUCUUUAGUUUCAAUAAAAGUGUCAAGGAUAGCCUUUGCCAUGCUUAUUUUGCUAGUAUACAUGUUGCUGUUUGAAAACAGAAAGUUUACCGCUGUUGCAAAAAUUCCCUAGAAAAGUCAGAGCAUGUUAUAACAUUGAAUCUUUUUGCAUAUUGAGCUCUGAUAAAUUUAUUACAGUGGGAAUUUUAGUUCAUAAUUUUUGGAGUCAGGGAAGUAUUGAUACUCUUGCAUUCUUUACAGACUGUACUGUUUUGGCAGAUUGCUGUUAUGGUUGCAUUGUUUGCGUAUGUUUGCUUGUUUAAUGAUUCUAUUUGAGGAUAGGAGUAUUAAAUAUACAGAGGCAUUUAGUAUUCAAUGUUGAAUAAUAAUUUUAGUGAUUUGUUACAGUAGAAAUUGAUAAGGUUUUGCAUUGGUUUAUACUAACCUAUCUCACGAGUUCUUGUUGAGUUUAUUGUGAAUGAAGCUUUUGAUAAAAAGAGAAACCAUGAUAUGAGAGGAAUUAAGGAGACACAAAAGUUCAAGAUUGGGGAUGCCCAAGGCACCCCAAGAUAAUAUUUCAAGAAGUCUCAAGCAUCUAAGCUUGGGGAUGCCUCGGUAGGCAUCCCACCUUUCUUCUUCAACAACUAUCGGUUAGUAUCGGUUGAGCCUAAGUUUUUUGCUUCUUCACAUGAGUUGUGCUAUCCUUGCAAUGUAGUUUUGUGUAGCUUUUCUUGCUGUUUGAAUAAAGUAUCAAGAUCUGAUUCUUUAAUGAGAAAGAGACUUCAUUUAGUUGCAUAAUUAUUUAGCUACUCAUUGAUCUUCACUUAUAUCUUUCGGAGUAGUUUGUCGUUUGCUCUAGUGCUUCACUUAUAUUAUUUUGAGAGUCUUUAAUAGCAUGGUAAUUUGCUUAAUGUUAAUAUACUUGGUGUUCAAGAUAUGUGAAACUUUCUUUUGAGUGCGUUGAAUACUAAGAAAAGUUUGAUGCUUGAUAAUUGUUUUGAGAUAUGGAGGUGAUAAUAUCAUAGUCGUGCUAGUUGGGUGAUUAUGAAUUUGAGAAAUACUUGUGUUGAAGUUUGCAAAUCCCGUAGCAUGCAUGUAUGGUUAAAGUUAUGUAACAAAUUUGAAACAUGAAGUGUACCUGGCUUGUGCAUCCUUAUGAGUGGCGGUCGGGGACGAGCGAUGGUCUUUUCCUACCAAUCUAUCCCCCUAGGAGCAUGCGCGUAGUACUUGAAUUUUUGAUGACUUCUAAAUUUUUGCAAUAAGUAUAUGAGUUCUUUUGAUUAAUAUUGAGUCCAUGGAUUAUACGUACUCUCACCUUUCCGCCAUUGAUAGCCUCUUCGGUGCCGUGCAUUGCCCUUUCUCACCUUGAGAGUUGGUGCAAACUUCGCCGGUGCAUCCAAACCCCGUGAUACGAUACGCUCUAUCACACAUAAACCUCCUUAUAUCUUCCUCAAAACAGCCACCAUACCUACCUAUUAUGGCAUUUCCAUAGCCAUUCCGAGAUAUAUUGCCAUGCAACUUCCAUCAUCAUCAUCGUGACAUGCAUUACUUUUGUCAUAUUGCCAUUGCAUGAUCUUCUAGUUGACAUCGUAUUUGUGGCAAAGCCACCAUGCAUUAUUUUUCAUACAUGUCAGCCGGAGGCAUUCAUAUAGAGUCAUAUCUUGUUCUAGUUUCGAGUUGUAAUUAAUAUGUUGUAAUGAAAGUGUGAUGAUCAUCAUUAUUAGAGCAUUGCCCAAAAAAAAGAAAGGCCAAAAAAAAGAAAGGCCCAAAAAAAGGGAAAGGCCAAAAUAAAAAAAAGGCCCAAAAAAAAGAAAAGAAAAGGGCAAUGCUACUAUCUCUUUUUCCACACUUGUGCUUCAAAGUAGCACCUUGUUCUUCAUGUAGUGAGUCUCAUAUAUUGUGCUUCAAAGUAGCACCAAGUUUUUCAUGUAGUGAGUCUCAUAAGUUGUCUUUUUUAUACUAGUGGGAAUUUUUCAUUAUAGAACUUGGCUUGUAUAUUCCUACGAUGGGCUUCCUCAAAUGCCCUAGGUCUUCGUGAGCAAGCAAGUUGGAUGCAUACCCACUAGUUUCUUUUGUUGAGCAUUCAUAGCUCUAGUGCAUCCGUUGCAUGGCAAUCCCUACUCCUCAUGUUGACAUCAAUUGAUAGGCAUCUCCAUAGCCCAUUGAUUAGCCUCGUCAACGUGAGACUUUCUCCUUUUUUGUCUUCUCCACACAAUCCCCAUCAUCAUAUUCUAUUCCACCCAUAGUGCUAUAUCCAUGGCUCACGCUCAUGUAUUGUGUGAAGGUUGAAAAAGUUUGAGAUUAUUUAAGUAUGAAACAAUUGCUUGGCUUGUCAUUGGGGGUAUAGAAGUUGAGAACAUCUUUGUGUGACGAAAAUGAAGCAUAGCCUAACUAUAUGAUUUUGUAGGGAUGAACUUUCUUUUGCCAUGCUAUUUUGAGAAGACAUGAUUGAUUUGAUUAGUAUGCUUGAAGUAUUAUUAUUUUUGUGUCAGUAUGAACUUUUGUCUUGAAUCUUUCGGAUCUGAAUAUUCAUAUCAUAAUUAAGAAGAUUUACAUUGAAAUUAUGCCAAAGUAUCACUCCGCAUCAAAAAUUCUUUUUUAUCAUUUACCUACUCGAGGACGAGCAGGAAUUAAGCUUGGGGAUGCUUGAUACGUCUCCAACGUAUCUAUAAUUUUUUAUUGCUCCAUGCUACUUUAUCUACUAUUUUAGGCAAUAUUAGGCUUUAUUAUCCACUUUUAUAUUAUUUUUGGGACUAACCUAUUAACCGGAGGCCCAGCCCAGAUUUGCUGUUUUAUGCCUAUUUCAGUGUUUCGAGGAAAAGGAAUAUCAGACGGAGUCAAAACGGAACGAAAUCAACUGGAGAAGUUAUUUUUGGAAGGAAACCAACCUGAUGGGCUUGGACCCCACGUCAGAAGAUACGGGAGAUGCUCACGAGGGUGGGGGGCGCGCCCUCCCCACCUGAGCGCGCCCUCCUGCCUCGUGGGGCCCCCGUAGCUCCACUGAUGUACCCCCUGCACCCAUAUAUACCUAUGUAUCCUAAAACUUUCAGAACAGAAAAUAGAUCGGGAGUUCCGCCGCCGCAAGCCUCUGUAGCCACCAAAAACCAAUCGGGACCCCGUUCCGGCACCCUGCCGGAGGGGGAUCCCAUCACCGGAGGCCAUAUUCAUCAUCCCGGCGCUAUCCAUGACAAGGAGGGAGUAGUUCACCCUUGGGGCUGAGGGUAUGUACCAGUAGCUAUGUGUUUGAUCUCUCUCUCUCUCUCUCGUGUUCUCUCUCGUGUUCUUCUAUGGCACGAUCUUGAUGUAUCCCGAGCUUUGCUAUUGUAGUUGGAUCUUAUGAUGUCCCCCCCCCUCUACUCUCUUGUGAUGAAUUGAGUUUCCCCUUUGAAGUUAUUUUAUCGGAUUGAGUCUUUUAUGAACACUUGAUGUAUGUCUUGCGUGGGAUAACCGUGGUGACAAUGGGUUAUUCUAUUGAUCCACUUGAUGUAUGUUUUGGUGAUCAACUUGCGGGUUUCGUGACACUUGGGAACCUAUGCAUAGGGGUUGGCACACGUUCUUGACUCUCCGGUAGAAACUUUGGGGCACUCUUUGAAGUACUUUUAUGUUGGUUGGAUGAAUCUAAGAUUGUGUGAUGCAUAUCGUAUAAUCAUGCCCACGGAUACUUGAGGUGACAAUGGAGUAUCUAGGUGACAUUAGGGUUUUGGUUGAUUUGUAUCUUAAGGUGUUAUUCUAGUACGAACUCUUUUAUAGAUCAAUCCGAAAGAAUAGCUUUGUGGUGGUUUCGUACCCGACCAUAAUCUCUACGUUUGUUCUCCGCUAUUAGUGGCUUUGGAGUGACUCUUUGUCGCGUGUUGAGGACUUCUCAUAUGUUCUAUCUAUGUUAUUAUUGUUGAGAGAACUUACACUAGUGAAAGUAUGAACCCUAGGCCUUGUUUCCUAUCAUUGCAAUACCAUUUACGCUCACUUUUACCGCUUGCUACCUUGCUGUUUUUAUUAUUUCAUAUUACAAAAACCCAUAUCUACUAUCUAUUUUGCACUUGUAUCUUCAUCUCUUCGCCAAACUAGUGCACCUAUACAAUUUACCAUUGUAUUGGGUGUGUUGGGGACACAAGAGACUUUUUGUUAUUUGGUUGCAGGGUUGCUUGAGAGAGACCAUCUUCAUCCUACGCCUCCUACGGAUUGAUAAACCUUAGGUCAUCCACUUGAGGGAAAUUUGCUACUGUCCUACAAACCUGUGCACUUGCAGGCCCAACAACGUCUACAAGAAGAAGGUUGUGUAGUAGACAUCAACGACCCAUAGCACCUGGGUUGGCCAUUGUUGCAGUCGGUGUUGUCAAGCAUUGUUGGCGCAAUUAGAAGUUACCAUGGUCGAUGUUGUCGAGGACAUUGAUGCAGCGCCGCCGGUGCUGUAGAGGAGGAAUGCUUGGUUCUGCAGAGGGGACCACCUCAAUGGAGCUGCAAUGCAACACAAGUUGUGUUGCGACCCUAUGGAUCUCGCAGGCGACCAAGAGAUGCUUCCAUGCAGCAUGUGUGGUGUCACGUUCUCGCAAAUCUUGCAGGGUGGGGGAGUUGCAGUGCAACACAUGGUGCUAUGAUCGACGUACCUCACCGGCGAUGGAGCUGCAGUGCAGUGUUCAUGGUGUUGCAACCGUCUCAUCGGUAGAGCGACAGAGUUGCAGUGCAACACGUGGUGAUCUGACCGGCAGACCUCACCGAUGGUGGAGUUGAGUGCAACAUUCAUGGUGCUGCGACGUCUCAUCAGCGGCGCGACAGAGCUGCGGUGCAGUGUGUGUACUACUGCAACCGACGGAUCUCACCGGUGGUGGAGCUACAAUGGAGCGUGCAUGGUAUUGCGACCCAUGGAUCUCGUCGGCCGGGGAAUCUGCAAUGUGACUCAUGGUUUACUGCGUGUAUAUCAGCUUUGCUUUGUCGGCUGCUGCUAGGUGACAACACUGCCGAAGGGAUUUGUGCGAGGACAAAAAGAUAGGAAAAAGUCCAUUUUAAACCCUGAACUCGUAGAGGUUCGGCGAAACAAACCCUCAAGUCGAAAUCCCGGUCGAUUGCACCUUGAACUAUGCAAUCCCGGUCUAAACUGAACCCUGGAGUCGUUUGGCAAACCAGGAUCAACGACGUGUCACAGGAUGGCCGGGAUUGGUGCCAUUUCGCCGCACUGUUCCCCAUUGGGCCGGCCCGCUUUAGUUUUGUUUUUCCUUCUUUUAAAACGCGCAGUUUUUUUUAUUCCUUUAAAACUGCAAAAAAAGAAAAGAACGUAGGGAGACUUGAACCCGUGACCUGCUGCUGUUAGUCGACGGAAGUAACCACCAGGACAACACAUCAUUGUUCACUUCCUCCCUGUUUCCUCUUUUUCUUCUUUCUUUUGCUGUUCUUUUUAUUUAUAUUUUUCGUUUUUAAUUUUUUGUUAAAUUCGUGGACAUCUUAGUAGGGAAUACCAAACGAAAAAAAACUCGUGAACCAAUUUUUUGAAAGGAAAAAGGCCGCGGUUUUUUUAUAAAAAAUUGAUGGAUUUAGAAAAAUUCAAAUGUUUUCAAAAGAAGUUCAAAAUAUUUCAAAAGAAAAGUUCUCAGAAUUUUGAAAGAAGUUGUAAAAAUGAAAAGAGUUCAUGGAUUUGAAAAAAGUCCACGGAUUCAAAAAAAAGUCCACGAGUUUUGUAAAAAAAUUCACGCAUUAGAUAAAAACGAAAAAAGCUAAGAAAUUGGAAUAAAUUAUUCAGAAGAGGAGAGGUGGCGUGGUUGGUAAGGACAGUUUUUGCACCCUACGUUUUGUAGGGAAGUUCACAAAUUUGGAUAUAUUUUCAUCAAAGUUAGAAAAAGUUCAUCAAAUUUGAAAAAAUGUUAGUCGACUUGAAAAGUUCAUCAAAUUUAGAAAAAUUUCAUGAAUUCAAAAGAUUCAAAAAAAAGUUCACAGAAACGAAAAAAUUUCAUAAACUCAAGAAAAGUUCACGAAAUUGAAAAAAGAAGAAAAACGGCCAAAAAAGCAAACAAGCUGUAAUCUAGCACAAACAAAUGAUCGUUAUUAAAAACAUAGUAAAAGAAUAAAGUAUCACGAAGCGGAUGUUCUCCCGGAUGUUUAGCGUGCUUGUACAGUGCCUGUGAGGUGCUGGGUUCGAAACCCCACGGCGCACCUUUUUUGAAAACGUUUUGCAGAAAAACGUAAAGAAAAAAGAGUAUGAUAGGCUGGCCCAGUGCGCGCUGUGGUCACCAUCGCUGAUGCUUGGCCCGCGAGCCAGACAAAUCCCUGCCACGUCAGCGUUUUUAUGUCUCAAAUGACGUCAAGGUUCGAUUUAGACCAGGAUUGCAUAGUUCAGGGUGUAAUCGACCGGGAUUUUAAUUUGAGGGUUCAUUUCGCCAAAUCUCUACGAGUUUAGGGUUUAAAGUGGACCUUUUCCAGACGAUAAGGAGGGGUUGAUCAUACUGCUGUCAGUGGCACAAUUUGACGGUUGUCAGAUCGAUCGAUUUUCCGCAAAAUCAAUUGGUUGAUUCCUAGCAGCCUCCAAAAAAAUUGCAUAAAAAUCAGCUAAAAAAUUGAAGCUUUUUCCAUGCGGCAAUGCACAUCUAUGUAGCUUCAUCUUCUUCCUGCUAGCUAUUAUUCUUCUUCGCUGCUUGCAUUUUCAUGGACGGGCAUGUGAUGCUCCAAACAUUGAACCGCACUUGUUACUUAACGCAUGCCAGACAGAUUCAAUAAACCUUGGACUUUGUUUUUGGGGGGUCAAAAAGAGCUGACACACACCACAUUACAUUACAUGCAUGCAUGGGUUUCAUGUUUCCAUGUUCUUCUUUAUGCAAAAGGGUCAAUAAUGGGGAUGAUUAAGGAUUAUUUGAAACAAAUAAAUAAAAACAACAAAAAUGGCGGCCAAAAACAGCUACAUGUUUCACGACUUUCC